This 438-nucleotide ribosomal RNA is filed under the name uncultured Actinomycetes bacterium. RNAcentral describes it as "bacterial SSU rRNA". It matches the Rfam family "Bacterial small subunit ribosomal RNA", at positions 282 to 736 of the family's 1533-position model. Lineage: Bacteria; Bacillati; Actinomycetota; Actinomycetes. The record is from RNAcentral.
GGUAGCUGGUCUGAGAGGAUGAUCAGCCACACUGGAAUUGAGAUACGGUCCAGACUCCUACGGGAGGCAGCAGUGGGGAAUAUUGCACAAUGGGCGAAAGCCUGAUGCAGCAACGCCGCGUGCGGGAUGAAGGCCCUAGGGUUGUAAACCGCUUUCAGCAGGGAAGAAAAUGACGGUACCUGUAGAAGAAGGUGCGGCCAACUACGUGCCAGCAGCCGCGGUGACACGUAGGCACCAAGCGUUGUCCGGAUUUAUUGGGCGUAAAGAGCUCGUAGGCGGUUCAGUAAGUCGGGUGUGAAAACUCUGGGCUCAACCCAGAGACGCCACCCGAUACUGCUGUGACUAGGAUACGGUAGAGGUGAGUGGAAUUCCGAGUGUAGCGGUGAAAUGCGUAGAUUUUCGGAGGAACACCAAUAGCGAAGGCAGCUCACUGGGCCG